GAUGAAGAACGUAGCGAAAUGCGAUACGUAAUGUGAAUUGCAGAAUUCAGUGAAUCAUCGAAUCUUUGAACGCAUAUUGCGCUCUCUGGUAUUCCGGAGAGCAUGCUUGUUUGAGUAUCAGUAAACACCUCAACUUCCAUAUCUUUUUUGAAAUGGGAGUUGGACUUGAGUGAUCCCAACGCUUUUCCUCACCGAAAAGUGGCGGGUUACUUGAAAUGCAGGUGCAGCUGGACUUUUCUCUGAGCUAUAAGCAUAUCUAUUUAGUCUGCCUAAAAAACAGAUUAUUACCUUUGCUGCAGCUAACAUAAAGGAGAUUAGUUCUUGUGCUGACUGAUGCAGGAUUCACAAAGACGGCUUCGGUCGACUUUGUAAACUCGAUCUCAAAUCAAGUAAGACUACCCGCUGAACUUAAGCAUAUCAAUAAGCGGAGGA
RNAcentral lists this unclassified non-coding RNA (432 nucleotides) under soil metagenome. RNAcentral describes it as "partial contains 5.8S ribosomal RNA, internal transcribed spacer 2, and large subunit ribosomal RNA". The stretch from base 1 to 120 matches the Rfam family "5.8S ribosomal RNA", at positions 35 to 154 of the family's 154-position model. The record is from RNAcentral.